GAUGAACGCUGGCGGCGUGCCUAAUACAUGCAAGUCGAGCGAACAGACGAGGAGCUUGCUCCUCUGACGUUAGCGGCGGACAGGUGAGUAACACGUGGAUAACCUACCUAUAAGACUGGGAUAACUUCGGGAAACCGGAGCUAAUACCGGAUAAUAUAUUGAACCGCAUGGUUCAAUAGUGAAAGACGGUUUUGCUGUCACUUAUAGAUGGAUCCGCGCCGCAUUAGCUAGUUGGUAAGGUAACGGCUUACCAAGGCAACGAUGCGUAGCCGACCUGAGAGGGUGAUCGGCCACACUGGAACUGAGACACGGUCCAGACUCCUACGGGAGGCAGCAGUAGGGAAUCUUCCGCAAUGGGCGAAAGCCUGACGGAGCAACGCCGCGUGAGUGAUGAAGGUCUUCGGAUCGUAAAACUCUGUUAUUAGGGAAGAACAAAUGUGUAAGUAACUAUGCACGUCUUGACGGUACCUAAUCAGAAAGCCACGGCUAACUACAUG
Molecule: ribosomal RNA, 497 nt
Filed under: uncultured bacterium
Lineage: Bacteria
Description: partial 16S ribosomal RNA
Rfam family: Bacterial small subunit ribosomal RNA
Source: RNAcentral